UACGGGAGGAUCCAAGCGUUAUCCGGAAUCAUUGGGUUUAAAGGGUCCGUAGGCGGUUUGGUAAGUCAGUGGUGAAAGCCCAUCGCUCAACGGUGGAACGGCCAUUGAUACUGCCAGACUUGAAUUGUUAGGAAGUAACUAGAAUAUGUAGUGUAGCGGUGAAAUGCUUAGAGAUUACAUGGAAUACCAAUUGCGAAGGCAGGUUACUACUAAUGGAUUGACGCUGAUGGACGAAAGCGUGGGUAGCGAACAGG
Molecule: ribosomal RNA, 254 nt
Filed under: uncultured bacterium
Lineage: Bacteria
Description: partial 16S ribosomal RNA
Rfam family: Bacterial small subunit ribosomal RNA
Source: RNAcentral